Molecule: long non-coding RNA, 1354 nt
Filed under: Taeniopygia guttata (zebra finch)
Lineage: Eukaryota; Metazoa; Chordata; Aves; Passeriformes; Estrildidae
Description: lncRNA (ENSTGUG00000028011.1)
Source: RNAcentral
GGCCUCCAUUCCCAAAAUCCCUCUUGGGAAUGAAUUUUAUUCCAGUUUAGGGAAUGAAACAACGCUGACAAAGAUUAUGAGAAGUGCAGAAGCAGAAAAAAAAAGGAUCCACAAUGGAGCAGGAUCUCAGCGUGGCCACCUCUAAGAAAACAACCAAUCUUCUAAACUGUGAUUUGACAGCCAAAAUGAAGAUUUUUUUAUUUUUUUUCAGGGAAAAAAAGAGUAAUUUUGGCCAUUAAGGGAGUGAAAGGAGCAGCUGAUUCCCUCAUUUCCAGAAAGCAGAAAAAGGCUUUGCUGGGACAUAAAGGAUUAAAUCCUCCUCAUCCUCAUUCUCUGGCAACCCACUGACGUCAAGGGGUUAAUGAAAGGCAGAACGUGGCUCCAGGGGUCCCUUUUUGGAACUGCAGGAGCAGCACAAGGAAUUAAUAAAACCCCAGGAAUCCCCAGGGAUUCCAGCACACACUUCCAUGGUUUUUAGGCACACGAGCAGAGCGUUGACAUCUCUGGUUACGGAGCAGCCUCGGGAAUUAACAAAGCAUUACCAACAUUCACCAUGACUAAUCUGCUCAUUAACAGGGGGGUUUUGUUUUGUUUUUUUUUUUUUUAAACCUUUUUUUUAACCUUGUAAUGGGAAACAGGACAGGGAUAACCAUCCCUGUAAAUCCUACUUUGUUUCCCUAAGUUUUCCCAGUUUAACCACAUGGAACGACAGUGAAUUUCCACCACUGAACAGCCCCACACAAGUCAUGAACCUGGGGCUAAAAGCUGCAAAAAAAUUCAGUGUAUUCAGCACGUUGGCAUUUCUACCACACUUAGGGGACAUUGUGCUAUUUCUUAUGGCUCAUGAACUGCCUCUUUCUGGGCCCUGUGCUGAUUAAAUUUAUUAAAUCCUCACAACUAAAAGCUCUGAGCACUCUAACAUUAAUUAGGUUUGCAAGUAUAAACAACAGAGCAUCAUAUUUAUAAAAAAACAACACAAGAGUUCUCAGCCAGAAAAUCAAGCCACAAAUCAGCUGGUUUUUUUUUUUUUUCCUUUUUGCUUCAUAUAAAAAACCUGUUUAAGACAAAUUAUUUCUGUUUUCUUUGCUCUUCAGACUCGUAUGGGCAAGGAACCAACCAUAUUUUUUCUGGCAUGCUUUCCAAACAAUAUUUUUUCUGGUGGUUUUCCAGGAAUAUGAAGGAAAAAAAUAAUAUUGAAGUGAUAUCAUUAUCUCUUACAAUGAAUUUUUGUCUUUUAUUGCCCAAAUCCUUCCUUAUUCCAUUGAAUCUGAAGCCAUCAGGACUUCUCAAAUGGUGUGCAGGGACAGGAUAUUUAUUAUCGACCUUAAAAACAAUGGGAUAAAGCAGCUGGAAU